Molecule: ribosomal RNA, 398 nt
Filed under: uncultured bacterium
Lineage: Bacteria
Description: partial 16S ribosomal RNA
Rfam family: Bacterial small subunit ribosomal RNA
Source: RNAcentral
AUACGUAGGGUGCGAGCGUUGUCCGGAAUUACUGGGCGUAAAGAGCUCGUAGGUGGUUUGUUGCGUCGUCUGUGAAAUUCCGGGGCUUAACUCCGGGCGUGCAGGCGAUACGGGCAUAACUUGAGUACUGUAGGGGAGACUGGAAUUCCUGGUGUAGCGGUGAAAUGCGCAGAUAUCAGGAGGAACACCGGUGGCGAAGGCGGGUCUCUGGGCAGUAACUGACGCUGAGGAGCGAAAGCAUGGGUAGCGAACAGGAUUAGAUACCCUGGUAGUCCAUGCCGUAAACGGUGGGCGCUAGGUGUAGGGGUCUUCCACGACUUCUGUGCCGUAGCUAACGCAUUAAGCGCCCCGCCUGGGGAGUACGGCCGCAAGGCUAAAACUCAAAUGAAUUGACGGGG